AUGAGUGAGUCAGCAUCUCAAGAGGACCCUGAACCUUCUCAGGAAAAUGGAAAAGAAGACAAGGAAAGGAAAGAGGAAGCAACUGAAGUGGAAGAGCCUACUGAGAGUUCACAGAGUGUACCCGGCAGUUCUGCAUUAGACACCAGAAGCAAUGUGGCAGAAACAGCAGCGGCUGAAAUCAAAUCCCAAGGUAGAGAACUAGCUUUCCCCUACACUGUGGAAUUUAAAACAAUUAUAUUUUCAUUGGGGAUGCAUUCCGUAAGAUUUUACCUUUAAAAAAAAUAUAAUCCUGGGGUAUUUUAAAUACGAUUUGGGAAAUAGUUAAAAAUACAUUCCCCUCACCAUCUAUUAAUACUUUUGAGGCAACUUUAUUCAUCUCAUGCUUAAAGAGAAAAUUUAGCUGAGAGCUGCCUGACACAUACCCAUUAAUGCAAAAAUAAAAUGAAGAACACAAGUGAUUUGGCGGGCUUU
RNAcentral lists this long non-coding RNA (471 nucleotides) under Ursus maritimus (polar bear). RNAcentral's name for it is "lncRNA (ENSUMAG00000010595.1)". The record is from RNAcentral. Lineage: Eukaryota; Metazoa; Chordata; Mammalia; Carnivora; Ursidae.